GAUGAACGCUGGCGGCGUGCUUAACACAUGCAAGUCGAACGGAAAGGCCCAAGCUUGCUUGGGUACUCGAGUGGCGAACGGGUGAGUAACACGUGGGUGAUCUGCCCUUCACUUCGGGAUAAGCCUGGGAAACUGGGUCUAAUACCGGAUAGGACCACAUGCUGCAUGGUGCGGGGGAGAGUUUUUCGGUGGGGGAUGAACUCGCGGCCUAUCAGCUUGUUGGUGGGGUAGUGGCCUACCAAGGCGUCGACGGGUAGCCGGCCUGAGAGGGUGUCCGGCCACAUUGGGACUGAGAUACGGCCCAGACUCCUACGGGAGGCAGCAGUGGGGAAUAUUGCACAAUGGGCGGAAGCCUGAUGCAGCGACGCCGCGUGCGGGAUGACGGCCUUCGGGUUGUAAACCGCUUUCGCCAGGGACGAAGCGUGAGUGACGGUAACUGGUAAAGAAGCACCGGCUAACUACGUG
Molecule: ribosomal RNA, 465 nt
Filed under: uncultured bacterium
Lineage: Bacteria
Description: partial 16S ribosomal RNA
Rfam family: Bacterial small subunit ribosomal RNA
Source: RNAcentral